RNAcentral lists this unclassified non-coding RNA (404 nucleotides) under soil metagenome. RNAcentral's name for it is "partial contains 5.8S ribosomal RNA, internal transcribed spacer 2, and large subunit ribosomal RNA". The stretch from base 1 to 121 matches the Rfam family "5.8S ribosomal RNA", at positions 35 to 154 of the family's 154-position model. The record is from RNAcentral.
GAUGAAGAACGCAGCGAAAUGCGAUAGGUAGUGUGAAUUGCAGAUGUAACGUGAAUCAUCGAAUCUUUGAACGCAAAUUGCACUCUCUGGUAUUCCGGGGAGUAUGCCUGUUUGAGGGUCGCCAAAUCAACAUCGAAAUUCAUUUGCUUUUGUAAAUGUUUAUCGGAUUUGAGCCGUCUUUUAUUUUUUUAAUUAAAGUGGCUUAAAAUGUAUUUUUUGGUAUCGAAAAACGUUAUUUUACGAUCAAAUUGAUUAAAAAAACAAACGUUUCGAAUGCCGUCUUUUAAUGUAAUACUCUUGACUGUGGUGUUAAUCAUAGUUUCAUUCGUAUACGAUUUUUUAAUUUUUGACCUCAAAUCAGGUAAGAACACCCGCUGAACUUAAGCAUAUCAAUAAGCGGAGGA